AAGCUAAAUACCGGCCAGAGACCGAUAGCGCACAAGUAGAGUGAUCGAAAGAUGAAAAGCACCUUGAAAAGGGAGUCAAACAGCACGUGAAAUUGUUGAAAGCGAAGCGCUUGCCGCCAGACCUGCCCGCGGGCGCUCACCCGCCAUUCGUGGCGGGGCACUCGCCCGCGAUCGGGCCAGCACGGGUUCGGGCGGCGGGACAAAGGGCCCGGGAACGUAGCUCCCUUCGGGGUGCCUUAUAGCCCGGGCCGCCAUGCCGCCCGCCCGGACCGAGGACCGCGCUUCGGCCAGGGUGCUGGCGUAAUGGCGGCAAGCGACCCGUCUUGAAACACGGACCAAGGAGUCUAACAUCUACGCGAGUGUUUGGGCGUCAAACCCCGGCGCGGAAUGAAAGUGAACGGAGGUGGGACCCCCGCGAGGGGCGCACCAUCGACCGAUCCCGAUGUCUUCGGACGGAUUUGAGUACGAGCGUAGCUGUUGGGACCACGAAAGAUGGUGAACUAUGCCUGGAUAGGGUGAAGCCAGAGGAAACUCUGGUGGAGGCUCGCAGCGGUUCUGACGUGCAAAUCGAUCGUCAAAUUUGGGCAUAGGGGCGAAAGACUAAUCGAACCAUCUAGUAGCUGGUUCCUGCCGAAGUUUCCCUCAGGAUAGCAGUAACGUUUUCAGUUUUAUGAGGUAAAGCGAACGAUUAGAGGCCUUGGGGUUGAAACAACCUUAACCUAUUCUCGAACUUUAAAUAUGUAAGAAGUCCUUGUUUCUUCGUUGAACGUGGACAUGCGAAUGCACCGUUACUAGUGGGCCAUUUUUGGUAAGCAGAACUGGCGAUGCGGGAUGAACCGAACGCGGGGUUAAGGUGCCGGAAUGUACGCUCAUCAGACACCACAAAAGAUGUCAAUUCAUCUGGACAGCCGGACGGUGGCCAUGGAAGCCGGAACCCGCUAAGGAGUGCGUAACAGCUCACCGGCCGAAUGAAUUGGCUCUGAAAAUGGAUGGCUCAAGCGUGCUACCCAUACCCCGCGGGUAGAACCACCCUGGCGAGU
This 1040-nucleotide ribosomal RNA is filed under the name Lathagrium fuscovirens. Its description in RNAcentral is "partial 28S large subunit ribosomal RNA". It matches the Rfam family "Eukaryotic large subunit ribosomal RNA", at positions 313 to 1382 of the family's 3401-position model. The record is from RNAcentral. Lineage: Eukaryota; Fungi; Ascomycota; Lecanoromycetes; Peltigerales; Collemataceae.